AAGGCUUUAAGUUAAAUUAAACUGACAGCCUUCAAAGCUUUAAAUAAAGAAAAUAUCUUUAAGCCUUA
RNAcentral lists this transfer RNA (68 nucleotides) under unidentified. RNAcentral's name for it is "Peltoperlopsis sagittata tRNA-Trp". The record is from RNAcentral.